UUUCCGUAGGUGAACCUGCGGAAGGAUCAUUAUUGGAUUUUGAAACUUCAGGCUGCUGCUGGCUCUCCUCGGAGGGCAUGUGCACGCUUGUUGUCCAUUAUUUCUCCCACUGUGCACAAAUUGUAGACCUUUCAGUAGGCCUAUGUUGUUUUUCACAAUCUCUGAAUGUAAUAGAAUGGUUUUUGAAUCUUGGGAAAUACAAUACAACUUUCAGCAACGGAUCUCUUGGCUCUC
This 234-nucleotide unclassified non-coding RNA is filed under the name plant metagenome. RNAcentral describes it as "partial contains small subunit ribosomal RNA, internal transcribed spacer 1, and 5.8S ribosomal RNA". The record is from RNAcentral.